ACGCUGGCGGCGCGCCUAACACAUGCAAGUCGAACGAGCGAGAGAGAGCUUGCUUUCUCAAGCGAGUGGCGAACGGGUGAGUAACGCGUGAGGAACCUGCCUCAAAGAGGGGGACAACAGUUGGAAACGACUGCUAAUACCGCAUAAGCCCACGACCCGGCAUCGGGGUUGAGGGAAAAAGGAGCAAUCCGCUUUGAGAUGGCCUCGCGUCCGAUUAGCUAGUUGGUGAGGUAAUGGCCCACCAAGGCAACGAUCGGUAGCCGGACUGAGAGGUUGAACGGCCACAUUGGGACUGAGACACGGCCCAGACUCCUACGGGAGGCAGCAGUGGGGAAUAUUGCACAAUGGGGGAAACCCUGAUGCAGCGACGCCGCGUGGAGGAAGAAGGUCUUCGGAUUGUAAACUCCUGUUGUUGAGGAAGAUAAUGACGGUACUCAACAAGGAAGUGACGGCUAACUACGUG
Molecule: ribosomal RNA, 463 nt
Filed under: uncultured bacterium
Lineage: Bacteria
Description: bacterial SSU rRNA
Rfam family: Bacterial small subunit ribosomal RNA
Source: RNAcentral